This 366-nucleotide ribosomal RNA is filed under the name uncultured organism. RNAcentral's name for it is "bacterial SSU rRNA". It matches the Rfam family "Bacterial small subunit ribosomal RNA", at positions 526 to 896 of the family's 1533-position model. The record is from RNAcentral.
CGGAGGAUCCAAGCGUUAUCCGGAAUCAUUGGGUUUAAAGGGUCCGUAGGCGGUUUAGUAAGUCAGUGGUGAAAGCCCAUCGCUCAACGGUGGAACGGCCAUUGAUACUGCUAAACUUGAAUUAUUAGGAAGUAACUAGAAUAUGUAGUGUAGCGGUGAAAUGCUUAGAGAUUACAUGGAAUACCAAUUGCGAAGGCAGGUUACUACUAAUGGAUUGACGCUGAUGGACGAAAGCGUGGGUAGCGAACAGGAUUAGAUACCCUGGUAGUCCACGCCGUAAACGAUGGAUACUAGCUGUUGGGGGCAACUUCAGUGGCUAAGCGAAAGUGAUAAGUAUCCCACCUGGGGAGUACGUUCGCAAAAAUG